UUAGCAUGGAAUAAUGAAAUAGGACUUGGUUUUAUUUUGUUGGUUUUAAACCAAGUAAUGAUUAAUAGGAACAGUUGGGGGCAUUCAUAUUUCUGCGCUAGAGGUGAAAUUCUUAGAUUGCAGAAAGAUGAGCUAAUGCGAAAGCAUUUGCCAAGGAUGUUUUCAUUGAUCAAGAGCGAAAGUUAAGGGAUCGAAGACGAUUAGAUACCGUCGUAGUCUUAACCAUAAACUAUGCCGACUAGAGAUCAGACCCAGUGUAAUUGAAAACGGGUUUGGCAUCUUAUGAGAAAUCAAAGUGUUUGGGUUCCGGGGGGAGUAUGGUCGCAAGGCUGAAACUUAAAGGAAUUGACGGAAGGGCACCACCAGGAGUGGAGCCUGCGGCUUAAUUUGACUCAACACGGGAAAACUCACCAGGUCCAGACAUAAUAAGGAUUGACAGAUUGAGAGCUCUUUCAUGAUUUUAUGGGUGGUGGUGCAUGGCCGUUUUUAGUUGGUGGAGUGAUUUGUCUGGUUAAUUCCGAUAACGAACGAGACCUUAACCUGCUAAAUAGUCGUAGUCAUUUGUAUGGCUGGGAGCUUCUUAGAGGGACAAUUGACGUUUAGUCAAUGGAAGUGAGGCAAUAACAGGUCUGUGAUGCCCUUAGAUGUUCUGGGCUGCACGCGCGCUACACUGAUAAAGGCAACGAGUAUAAACCUUAUCCGAAAGGAUUGGGAAAUCUUGUGAAACUUUAUCGUGAUGGGAAUAGUCAAUUGCAAUUAUUUGACUUGAACGAGGAAUUCCUAGUAAGCGCAAGUCAUCAGCUUGCGUUGAUUACGUCCCUGCCCUUUGUACACACCGCCCGUCGCUACUACCGAUUGAAUGGCU
RNAcentral lists this ribosomal RNA (865 nucleotides) under uncultured fungus. Its description in RNAcentral is "bacterial SSU rRNA". It matches the Rfam family "Eukaryotic small subunit ribosomal RNA", at positions 804 to 1698 of the family's 1831-position model. Lineage: Eukaryota; Fungi. The record is from RNAcentral.